CAAAAGAACAGUAAAACUAUGUUUAAACGUUUGUUUGCCCGUGGUGAGCAUGUUUUAUUUUUGCGCAUUUUUUCUUAAUGGUCUGUUCUGUGUUAAGAGUUUAUGUGCGUAUUUUGUUAAUGAGCACACCACUCGUCCUGUCCAUCCAUACUAGUAUUGCUGUUAGCUAGUUAGCUUUAGCCCUGACAAAGUUAGUGGAGAUGUUUUCAUUCCAGAUUCCGACUUAACGAUGAAGGCGUCAUUGACAUCAAAGAUGACCCUCUCCUACCCAGACAGCCAUCAAGACUAUAACAUUGAGGACCACACACAAAUGAUGGCUCCUCUACGCGAUGGCCCAUUGAUGAUUAAGCAAGGACUGGUGUGUUUUCCCAGAAAGCUCACAGAGCCACAAAAGACAGUGUGGAGUGAACGCAUGAUGGUCUGCAAAUAAAUAAAGCAAGAGUGGAAAAAUGUGGGUGAACACUCACCGAUAAAAUGGCCAGAUUUUGCGAGGGUAGACUUGAGUGUUUAUUUCCAGACUAUUGUGGGUCUGCGCCAUCAUUUAUGGCUCUCCCAGGUUGUGUCUUUAAAAAUGUCAAUGAAAUUUUCAUAGCUGCUUCAGCGCAAUAGUGGAAUAGUAAAACAGAAAACGGAUUCAAUGUUAAGUUGCUGUGUUUUCACAGUGGAUAACUUCUUUUUACGCUUGUGUGGCGUUCAAGAACGUCCACAAGUAAAGAUGCCCAACGUGACACAAAUCAACUCCACAUUACGGCUUUGUCAUUUGUCGUCAAAGUUAAGAUUGUUUUGUUUUCAUGUCUUACAACAGCAGCGGUUAACGUUUUUUUUUUUUUUUACAUUUGUAUGACGCUAAAAGGUCCAAAUUACAGUUGCUAAAGAUUUUAUGAUGGCAACAGUUUGACUCCGGAGCGGAUUAUUUCUAGAUCCAUUAUUUCCUAUAGUAGAAAUAGUUUUGAAAUAUGAGAAAAUUGGAUGGAGUUGUUUUCUCAAUUAACAGAACUACGCAUAACUGUCUGGUGUAAGAUCAUUACAAGAAAAAAAAAAUCACCAAAUUUGAGAAUUUUUCCUAAAUAUUCGGUACUUAUUGUUUUACUUGUUUGCAGAAAAGUUUAGUUUCUUUGUGGAGGUGUAAGAACCUCAUAGAGAGGGCACAGGAAGGGUCUAGUUAAAUCUGGAUAAAGUUGCAGAUUCAUGCUAGAUUUCUUGAAAUUUUGUUGAAUUUGCCAAAAGUUGUAGUUUUUCAAUAAAUGAAUGCAUGAAAAAUAGGGGUGUCACGACACAACCGUCAGUACAAUGAAAAAAUAUAUGACCAUAUAUUGCAAUCUACUAAUUGAAUUACCACUACAGUACACUCUUCUGCACUGCGUGUGUAUGCCACCGGCCUCGCCUCCACCCGCCGAGGAAAAGAAGACUGCAUGACUGACAAAAAGCGGCUGUUCUGUGGAAAAAAAUCCUAGGGGAAACCCUGAGAGACGAGGGAAACAGACACACAUGCACAUGGCAAUAUACUAAGACAGAGUUGAUUUUCAUUUAUUGUGUGAUCAAUUAAUUAAUUAAUUACCAUCCUAGGCCUAGGGGCCACAAGGCUUUUUUUUAUUCUGAAUAAGAAAUCUUGUCAUGUUUUAAUAUCGCGACAUCUUGUGACAUGAGAUCCUGUGACACCCCAACAUUGUUGAUAUAUUCCUUUUCUUCCUCAGCUAAAGUUUUUGACGUUUUUAACUCAACUCAU
Molecule: long non-coding RNA, 1726 nt
Organism: Dunckerocampus dactyliophorus (ringed pipefish)
Lineage: Eukaryota; Metazoa; Chordata; Actinopteri; Syngnathiformes; Syngnathidae
Exons: 3
Source: RefSeq, a predicted model, not a curated record